RNAcentral lists this ribosomal RNA (441 nucleotides) under Staphylococcus aureus. RNAcentral's name for it is "partial 23S ribosomal RNA". It matches the Rfam family "Bacterial large subunit ribosomal RNA", at positions 802 to 1246 of the family's 2925-position model. The record is from RNAcentral. Lineage: Bacteria; Bacillati; Bacillota; Bacilli; Caryophanales; Staphylococcaceae.
GGAUGAACUGAGGGUAGCGGAGAAAUUCCAAUCGAACCUGGAGAUAGCUGGUUCUCUCCGAAAUAGCUUUAGGGCUAGCCUCAAGUGAUGAUUAUUGGAGGUAGAGCACUGUUUGGACGAGGGGCCCCUCUCGGGUUACCGAAUUCAGACAAACUCCGAAUGCCAAUUAAUUUAACUUGGGAGUCAGAACAUGGGUGAUAAGGUCCGUGUUCGAAAGGGAAACAGCCCAGACCACCAGCUAAGGUCCCAAAAUAUAUGUUAAGUGGAAAAGGAUGUGGCGUUGCCCAGACAACUAGGAUGUUGGCUUAGAAGCAGCCAUCAUUUAAAGAGUGCGUAAUAGCUCACUAGUCGAGUGACACUGCGCCGAAAAUGUACCGGGGCUAAACAUAUUACCGAAGCUGUGGAUUGUCCUUUGGACAAUGGUAGGAGAGCGUUCUAAGG